CAAGGCUGAGGUGUGAUGACGAGGCACUACGGUGCUGAAGUAACAAAUGCCCUGCUUCCAGGAAAAGCCUCUAAGCAUCAGGUAACAUCAAAUCGUACCCCAAACCGACACAGGUGGUCAGGUAGAGAAUACCAAGGCGCUUGAGAGAACUCGGGUGAAGGAACUAGGCAAAAUGGUGCCGUAACUUCGGGAGAAGGCACGCUGGUGUGUAGGUGAAGUCCCUGCGGAUGGAGCUGAGACCAGUCGAAGAUACCAGCUGGCUGCAACUGUUUAUUAAAAACACAGCACUGUGCAAACACGAAAGUGGACGUAUACGGUGUGACGCCUGCCCGGUGCCGGAAGGUUAAUUGAUGGGGUUAUCCGUAAGGAGAAGCUCUUGAUCGAAGCCCCGGUAAACGGCGGCCGUAACUAUAACGGUCCUAAGGUAGCGAAAUUCCUUGUCGGGUAAGUUCCGACCUGCACGAAUGGCGUAAUGAUGGCCAGGCUGUCUCCACCCGAGACUCAGUGAAAUUGAACUCGCUGUGAAGAUGCAGUGUACCCGCGGCAAGACGGAAAGACCCCGUGAACCUUUACUAUAGCUUGACACUGAACAUUGAGCCUUGAUGUGUAGGAUAGGUGGGAGGCUUUGAAGCGUGGACGCCAGUCUGCGUAGAGCCAACCUUGAAAUACCACCCUUUAAUGUUUGAUGUUCUAACGUUGGCCCCUGACCGGGGUUGCGGACAGUGUCUGGUGGGUAGUUUGACUGGGGCGGUCUCCUCCCAAAGCGUAACGGAGGAGCACGAAGGUUAGCUAAUCCUGGUCGGACAUCAGGAGGUUAGUGCAAUGGCAUAAGCUAGCUUGACUGCGAGCGUGACGGCGCGAGCAGGUGCGAAAGCAGGUCAUAGUGAUCCGGUGGUUCUGAAUGGAAGGGCCAUCGCUCAACGGAUAAAAGGUACUCCGGGGAUAACAGGCUGAUACCGCCCAAGAGUUCAUAUCGACGGCGGUGUUUGGCACCUCGAUGUCGGCUCAUCACAUCCUGGGGCUGAAGUAGGUCCCAAGGGUAUGGCUGUUCGCCAUUUAAAGUGGUACGCGAGCUGGGUUUAGAACGUCGUGAGACAGUUCGGUCCCUAUCUGCCGUGGGCGCUGGAGAAUUGAGGGGGGCUGCUCCUAGUACGAGAGGACCGGAGUGGACGCAUCACUGGUGUUCGGGUUGUCAUGCCAAUGGCACUGCCCGGUAGCUAAAUGCGGAAGAGAUAAGUGCUGAAAGCAUCUAAGCACGAAACUUGCCCCGAGAUGAGUUCUCCCUGAGACUAUAAGUCUCCUGAAGGAACGUUAAAGACGAUGACGUUGAUAGGCCGGGUGUGUAAGCGCAGCGAUGCGUUGAGCUAACCGGUACUAAUGAACCGUGAGGCUUAACCUU
Molecule: ribosomal RNA, 1399 nt
Filed under: Klebsiella pneumoniae
Lineage: Bacteria; Pseudomonadati; Pseudomonadota; Gammaproteobacteria; Enterobacterales; Enterobacteriaceae
Description: bacterial LSU rRNA
Rfam family: Bacterial large subunit ribosomal RNA
Source: RNAcentral